CUCCUUCGACGUUAGCGGCGGACGGGUGAGUAACACGUGGGUAACCUACCUAUAAGACUGGGAUAACUUCGGGAAACCGGAGCUAAUACCGGAUAAUAUUUCGAACCGCAUGGUUCGAUAGUGAAAGGUGGUUUUGCUAUCACUUAUAGAUGGACCCGCGCCGUAUUAGCUAGUUGGUAAGGUAACGGCUUACCAAGGCGACGAUACGUAGCCGACCUGAGAGGGUGAUCGGCCACACUGGAACUGAGACACGGUCCAGACUCCUACGGGAGGCAGCAGUU
This 281-nucleotide ribosomal RNA is filed under the name uncultured Staphylococcus sp. Its description in RNAcentral is "partial 16S ribosomal RNA". It matches the Rfam family "Bacterial small subunit ribosomal RNA", at positions 81 to 355 of the family's 1533-position model. The record is from RNAcentral. Lineage: Bacteria; Bacillati; Bacillota; Bacilli; Caryophanales; Staphylococcaceae.